RNAcentral lists this unclassified non-coding RNA (430 nucleotides) under Hevea brasiliensis (rubber tree). Lineage: Eukaryota; Viridiplantae; Streptophyta; Magnoliopsida; Malpighiales; Euphorbiaceae. The record is from RNAcentral.
GAAAAAAUUUAUUGUUGAUCACCUCCGUACUCAGCCGUUCUCCGCCAUCACUCCACCACUCUACCUCACCAGCGGCCACUGCAUCACCGCCGUGAUAAACCAUGAAUUGAUACAAUUGCCCUCUUCCUUCUCAAAGCUAAAAGUUCCAUAAUCGCAUGGGCGCAUCAUUAUCCAACCUGACGGAAAACGGGUCAGCCAACGGCAGACCGGGACUCGGUGAUAUACCGGAAAACUGCGUGGCGUGUGUGUUUAUGUACCUAAAUCCACCUGAAAUUUGUAAUCUAGCUCGGCUUAAUCGUGCUUUUCGAGGUGCCGCUUCUUCUGAUGCUGUUUGGGAAUCUAAACUUCCCUCUAACUACCAUCUCUUGCUCGACCUUUUGCCUCCGCAAAAUUUCGACGGUCUCUCGAAGAAAGACAUAUUUGCUUUCCU